This 460-nucleotide ribosomal RNA is filed under the name uncultured bacterium. RNAcentral describes it as "partial 16S ribosomal RNA". It matches the Rfam family "Bacterial small subunit ribosomal RNA", at positions 338 to 795 of the family's 1533-position model. The record is from RNAcentral.
CCUACGGGAGGCAGCAGUGAGGAAUAUUGGUCAAUGGCCGUAAGGCUGAACCAGCCAAGUCGCGUGAAGGAAGAAGGAUCUAUGGUUUGUAAACUUCGGUUAUAGGGGAAUAAAGGUAUACAAGUGUGGAGAUUUGCAUGUACCCUAUGAAUAAGCAUCGGCUAACUCCGUGCCAGCAGCCGCGGUAAUACGGAGGAUGCGAGCGUUAUCCGGAUUUAUUGGGUUUAAAGGGUGCGUAGGUUGUGUUUUAAGUCAGCGGUGAAAGUUUGUGGCUGAACCAUAAAAUUGCCGUUGAAACUGGAAGACUUGCGUGUGUUUGAGGUAGGCGGAAUGCGUGUUGUAGCGGUUAAAUGCCUAGAUAUCACGCAGAACUCCGAUUGCGCAGGCAGCUUACUAAGCCAUAACUGACACUGAAGCACGAAAGCGUGGGGAUCAAACAGGAUUAGAUACCCGUGUAGUC